This 460-nucleotide ribosomal RNA is filed under the name uncultured bacterium. RNAcentral describes it as "partial 16S ribosomal RNA". It matches the Rfam family "Bacterial small subunit ribosomal RNA", at positions 338 to 795 of the family's 1533-position model. The record is from RNAcentral.
CCUACGGGUGGCUGCAGUGAGGAAUAUUGGUCAAUGGUCGAGAGUCUGAACCAGCCAAGUAGCGUGAAGGAUGACUGCCCUAUUGGUUGUAAACUUCUUUUAUCUGGGAAUAAAACGUUCCACGUGUGGGAUUUUGUAUGUACCAUAUGAAUAAGGAUCGGCUAACUCCGUGCCAGCAGCCGCGGUAAUACGGAGGAUCCGCGCUUUAUCCGGAUUUAUUGGGUUUAAAGGGAGCGUAGGUGGAUUUUUAAGGCAGUCGUGAAAGUUUGCGGCUCAACCGUACAAUUGCAGUUGAAACUGGCAGUCUUGAGUACAGGAGAGGUGGGCGGAAUGCGUGGUGUAGCGGUGAAAUGCUUAGAUAUCACGAAGAACUCCGAUUGCGAAGGCAGUUCACUGGACUGCAACUGACACUGAGGCUCGAAAGUGUGGGUAUCAAACAGGAUUAGAUACCCGAGUAGUC